CAGCAGCCACGGGAAUACGUAGGUGGCAAGCGUUGUCCGGAUUUAUUGGGCGUAAAGCGAGCGCAGGCGGUUUCUUAAGUCUGAUGUGAAAGCCCCCGGCUCAACCGGGGAGGGUCAUUGGAAACUGGGAAACUUGAGUGCAGAAGAGGAGAGUGGAAUUCCAUGUGUAGCGGUGAAAUGCGUAGAUAUAUGGAGGAACACCAGUGGCGAAGGCGGCUCUCUGGUCUGUAACUGACGCUGAGGCUCGAAAGCGUGGGGAGCAAACAGGAUUAGAGACCCCCGUAGUCCCUGUCUCUUAUAC
This 301-nucleotide ribosomal RNA is filed under the name uncultured bacterium. RNAcentral describes it as "partial 16S ribosomal RNA". It matches the Rfam family "Bacterial small subunit ribosomal RNA", at positions 509 to 807 of the family's 1533-position model. The record is from RNAcentral.